GCGGCGGCUAUACAUGCAGUCGAGCGAAUCUGAGGGAGCUUGCUCCCAAAGAUUAGCGGCGGACGGGUGAGUAACACGUGGGUAACCUGCCUGUAAGAUUGGGAUAACUCCGGGAAACCGGAGCUAAUACCGGAUAACAUAUCGAACCGCAUGGUUCAAUAUUGAAAGAUGGUUUCGGCUAUCACUUACAGAUGGACCCGCGGCGCAUUAGCUAGUUGGUGAGGUAACGGCUCACCAAGGCGACGAUGCGUAGCCGACCUGAGAGGGUGAUCGGCCACACUGGGACUGAGACACGGCCCAGACUCCUACGGGAGGCAGCAGUAGGGAAUCUUCCGCAAUGGACGAAAGUCUGACGGAGCAACGCCGCGUGAGCGAAGAAGGCCUUCGGGUCGUAAAGCUCUGUUGUUAGGGAAGAACAAGUACGAGAGUAACUGCUCGUACCUUGACGGUACCUAACCAGAAAGCCACGGCUAACUACGUGCCAGCAGCCGCGGUAAUACGUAGGUGGCAAGCGUUGUCCGGAAUUAUUGGGCGUAAAGCGCGCGCAGGCGGUUUCUUAAGUCUGAUGUGAAAGCCCACGGCUCAACCGUGGAGGGUCAUUGGAAACUGGGGAACUUGAGUGCAGAAGAGGAGAGUGGAAUUCCACGUGUAGCGGUGAAAUGCGUAGAGAUGUGGAGGAACACCAGUGGCGAAGGCGACUCUCUGGUCUGUAACUGACGCUGAGGCGCGAAAGCGUGGGGAGCGAACAGGAUUAGAUACCCUGGUAGUCCACGCCGUAA
This 779-nucleotide ribosomal RNA is filed under the name Metabacillus niabensis. RNAcentral describes it as "bacterial SSU rRNA". It matches the Rfam family "Bacterial small subunit ribosomal RNA", at positions 39 to 805 of the family's 1533-position model. Lineage: Bacteria; Bacillati; Bacillota; Bacilli; Caryophanales; Bacillaceae. The record is from RNAcentral.